GGCUUUAUAGUCAAUAAUGACAUUAGACUGCAAAUCUAAAGGAGCAAAUUAAUGCUAUAGCUU
RNAcentral lists this transfer RNA (63 nucleotides) under Rhinoestrus usbekistanicus. RNAcentral describes it as "tRNA-Cys". It matches the Rfam family "tRNA". Rfam says of the family: Transfer RNA (tRNA) molecules are approximately 80 nucleotides in length. Lineage: Eukaryota; Metazoa; Arthropoda; Insecta; Diptera; Oestridae. The record is from RNAcentral.